RNAcentral lists this ribosomal RNA (419 nucleotides) under uncultured bacterium. Its description in RNAcentral is "partial 16S ribosomal RNA". The record is from RNAcentral.
CCGUCAGAACUUCUUCCUUGAGAAAAGGGGUUUACAACCCAAGAGCCUUCCUCCCCCACGCGGUCUUGCUCCGUCAGGCUUUCGCCCAUUGCGGAAAAUUCCCCACUGCUGCCUCCCGUAGGAGUCUGGGCCGUGUCUCAGUCCCAGUGUGGCUGAUCGUCCUCUCAGACCAGCUACUGAUCGUCGCCUUGGUGGGCUUUUACCCCGCCAACUAGCUAAUCAGACGCGAGCUCAUCUCCAGGCGAUAAAUCGUUUUACCUUUCGGCUCAUCCGGGAUUAGCAGAGGUUUCCCUCUGUUGUCCCCGUCCUGGAGGCAGAUUCUCACGCGUUACUCACCCGUCCGCCACUAGCUCCGAAGAGCCCGUUCGACUUGCAUGUGUUAAGCAGACCGCCAGCGUUCAUCCUGAGCCAGGAUCAAA